Molecule: long non-coding RNA, 734 nt
Filed under: Sorghum bicolor (sorghum)
Lineage: Eukaryota; Viridiplantae; Streptophyta; Magnoliopsida; Poales; Poaceae
Description: long non-coding RNA (SBIC_LNC011143)
Source: RNAcentral
CCGCCGGCCAAGGGGCCCAAGCCGGAGAAGCCCCCGACCAAGGGCCACGGCCACAAGCCGGAGAAGCCGCCCAAGGAGCACAAGCCGACUCCGCCCACCUACACCCCGAGCCCCAAGCCCACGCCGCCGCCGGCUACUCCCAAGCCGACGCCGCCCACCUACACGCCGAGCCCUAAGCCCAAGUCGCCGGUCUACCCUCCCCCGCCGAAAGCCAGUACUCCUCCGACCUACACCCCGAGCCCCAAGCCUCCGGCGACCAAGCCGCCUACCUACCCGACCCCCAAGCCACCAGCUACCAAGCCUCCGACACCUCCUGUGUACACUCCGAGCCCCAAACCACCGGUUACAAAGCCUCCUACACCCAAGCCGACCCCGCCGGUGUACACGCCGAACCCCAAGCCACCGGUUACCAAGCCUCCGACACACACGCCGAGCCCCAAGCCUCCGACAUCCAAGCCGACUCCGCCGGUGUACACACCGAGCCCCAAGCCACCGAAGCCGUCCCCGCCGACGUACACGCCGACCCCGAAGCCACCGGCUACCAAGCCGCCCACCUCAACUCCGACGCACCCUAAGCCGACGCCGCACACGCCUAUCCCCAAGCCCACGCCGCCAACCUACAAGCCGGCACCGAAGCCGACGCCGCCGGCGCCCACCCCGCCGACAUACACGCCGCCGGUGUCGCACACCCCCAGCUCGCCGCCGCCGCCGCCGCCGCCGCCUUACUACUAGAC